GAUGAACGCUGGCGGCGUGCCUAAUACAUGCAAGUCGAGCGAACGGACGAGAAGCUUGCUUCUCUGAUGUUAGCGGCGGACGGGUGAGUAACACGUGGAUAACCUACCUAUAAGACUGGGAUAACCUCGGGAAACCGUAGCUAAUACCGGAUAAUAUUUUGAACCGCAUGGUUCAAAAGUGAAAGACGGUCUUGCUGUCACUUAUAGAUGGAUCCGCGCUGCAUUAGCUAGUUGGUAAGGUAACGGCUUACCAAGGCAACGAUGCAUAGCCGACCUGGGAGGGUGAUCGGCCACACUGGAACUGAGACACGGUCCAGACUCCUACGGGAGGCAGCAGUAGGGAAUCUUCCGCAAUGGGCGAAAGCCUGACGGAGCAACGCCGCGUGAGUGAUGAAGGUCUUCGGAUCGUAAAACUCUGUUAUUAGGGAAGAACAUAUGUGUAAGUAACUGUGCACAUCUUGACGGUACCUAAUCAGAAAGCCACGGCUAACUACGU
This 496-nucleotide ribosomal RNA is filed under the name uncultured bacterium. Its description in RNAcentral is "partial 16S ribosomal RNA". It matches the Rfam family "Bacterial small subunit ribosomal RNA", at positions 28 to 506 of the family's 1533-position model. The record is from RNAcentral.